This 460-nucleotide ribosomal RNA is filed under the name uncultured bacterium. RNAcentral's name for it is "partial 16S ribosomal RNA". It matches the Rfam family "Bacterial small subunit ribosomal RNA", at positions 338 to 795 of the family's 1533-position model. The record is from RNAcentral.
CCUACGGGGGACUGCAGUGAGGAAUAUUGGUCAAUGGACGCAAGUCUGAACCAGCCAUGCCGCGUGCAGGAAGACGGCUCUAUGAGUUGUAAACUGCUUUUGUACGAGGGUAAACGCAGAUACGCGUAUCUGUGUGAAAGUAUCGUACGAAUAAGGCUCCGCCAAAUCCGUGACAGCAGCCGCGGUAAUACGGAGGAUUCAACCGUUAUCCGGAUUUAUUGGGUUUAAAGGGUGCGUAGGCGGUCGGAUAAGUUAGAGGUGAAAUCCCGAGGCUCAACUGCGGAAUUGCCUCUGAUACUGUUCGGCUAGAGAGUAGUGGCGGUAGGCGGAAUGUAUGGUGUAGCGGUGAAAUGCUUAGAGAUCAUACAGAACACCGAUUGCGAAGGCAGCUUACCAAGCUACUUCUGACGUUGAGGCACGAAAGCGUGGGGAGCAAACAGGAUUAGAUACCCCAGUAGUC